CGGGGUGUGGCGCAGCCUGGUAGCGCGCGCCGUUCGGGUCGGCGAGGCCCCCGGUUCAAAUCCGGGCACCCCGACCA
RNAcentral lists this transfer RNA (77 nucleotides) under Actinomycetota bacterium. RNAcentral's name for it is "tRNA-Pro". It matches the Rfam family "tRNA". Rfam says of the family: Transfer RNA (tRNA) molecules are approximately 80 nucleotides in length. Their secondary structure includes four short double-helical elements and three loops (D, anti-codon, and T loops). The record is from RNAcentral. Lineage: Bacteria; Bacillati; Actinomycetota.